UGAGGAAUAUUGGUCAAUGGACGCAAGUCUGAACCAGCCAAGUAGCGUGCAGGAUGACGGCCCUAUGGGUUGUAAACUGCUUUUAUAUGGGGAUAAAGUGGGGAACGUGUUCCCUUUUGCAGGUACCAGAUGAAUAAGGACCGGCUAAUUCCGUGCCAGCAGCCGCGGUAAUACGGAAGGUCCGGGCGUUAUCCGGAUUUAUUGGGUUUAAAGGGAGCGUAGGCUGUCUAUUAAGCGUGUUGUGAAAUAUACCGGCUCAACCGGUGGCUUGCAGCGCGAACUGGUCGACUUGAGUAUGCAGGAAGUAGGCGGAAUUCAUGGUGUAGCGGUGAAAUGCUUAGAUAUCAUGACGAACUCCGAUUGCGCAGGCAGCUUACUGUAGCAUAACUGACGCUGAUGCUCGAAAGUGCGGGUAUCAAACAGG
RNAcentral lists this ribosomal RNA (424 nucleotides) under Verrucomicrobiota bacterium. RNAcentral describes it as "Verrucomicrobia bacterium partial 16S ribosomal RNA". It matches the Rfam family "Bacterial small subunit ribosomal RNA", at positions 355 to 776 of the family's 1533-position model. The record is from RNAcentral. Lineage: Bacteria; Pseudomonadati; Verrucomicrobiota.